UGAAUAAACUCUGUGGUCUAACUCAAAUUACCUAUGAUAACCCAUCAGUUAUCAGUGCUAUGCACCUCAAUUGGAGAAACAACCGUGUCAAGCAUGGACUCAUGGAGAACCAAGGUGGCUGCCUUAUCCUUCCUGAGCUUUUAAAGCUUUUAUAAUUUAAAGUUCUGCAUUCCAUGACUCAUCAUGGAAAAGAUAAAAUGAUCCAAGUUAAAUGCAUAUUGGUGUGGUGACUUCUAAAUUGCUAAAAUAGUUUAUGACCAAUGUUUGGUUUGCCAAACCCAUAUUCCUGGGAAGACAAUCAAAGCUUCAGGUACAUUCUGCUACCUCAUGAGCCGUUUAAACAUUUAUGAAGAGAUUUCAGUCAAUUGUCAUUUUCAAUGCAUGUUUUCUGGUUGUGUAAAAGCUUUCCUAUACAAGUGAACUGAUGUUAUAACAGUAGAUUAUUAUUUCACAGUGUAUUUUCACCAGGUAAAGAAAGCUUUUUAUGGUUCACUGACUGAGGACAAUCAACCCCUUCACAAUCUAGAACCUGAAGAUUGGAUCUUCUGAGAACAUCAGAGAAAGACUGCCCUUGCCAUCCACACUGCAGCAAACAUCAGAACCAUGAACCUUGGCUUCAUAAUCUCACAACUGAGAAGGAUCCCUCCACAUUCUUGGAAAUAUACACCCAUUGGAACCCGUAAGCAGACCAUGUGUCAACGUAUGCAGAGUUUGUGCAGACACACAGACCCUCUGGGGAGUAUAUGUUUGAAUCUGAUGAAGAUGAGCAGUUAUUUGUGCACCUGGACAAGAAGGAGAUGGUCUGGCAUCUGUGACAGUUUAUUCACACUGUGUCAAACUUUCUCAGCCAGAAGUUGACAUAAGGAAGUCACCAGCUUCGGUCUCCUUUAAAUCUCCAGGCCUAACUUCUUUUUGAAUCUCUGCUCUUCAACCACAAUGACUUAUGUACCCCAAGACCCCUCUACCUCCUGGCUGCCUAUGAUCCUCCUGCACCUAGCACUCAGCAAAGGGUCUGACAUUUAGAUAGCCCUCAAUCAAUAUGAAGAAUUUAAAGUGUAGUGACAAGGUGGUGCCCACACUGGAUGGUCUGUAUGCUGUGGUCUCAUCAGGAACCUUUCUCUGCACUGCAUUUUUCCUGAGAAAUCCCAGAGUUCAAUAAAUACCUGUGUAUGUCAGAGCUAGACACAUCUGAUGCCUUUCUGUGACUCCUUAUAUUCUCAGUUUCCUAGGAAUGCAUAUCCUGGACUUGUAAUUGUAGGAUACAGGUGCAUUAUGGGUGCAGAUACCUCAGUUUUGCAUCCUGCAAGAGUUAGUCUGCAGAUUGUUCACUCCACUCUGGGUACGGCUGACACCUACAGCAUGCGUCCAGGGGACAAAAAUGGAAGGAGAUGACUCUGAUUGGAUAGUGAGAGGAACACGGGUAGCUCUGGUAAACUGACCAGGGAUAGGCGCCCAGGGGCACACAAGGCCCAGAAGCUGCUUGUGAGAAGUCAGGGAGAAGGAAGCCAACAACUGGAUGUAUCAGAGAGCCACUGAGUGCUCAUUAUGUGUAUCAGGAGUUAAGAAUCCAUCCUCUACACGAAAAGGAAAGCUUAGACCAAACAUGUCUUCUACCUUGAUUUACAGUAACUUAAUAUGAAAUGCAAAACACAUAAAAAUUUUGGAUUGUAAAAAAAAGAUCAGUGUUUGAAAGAGUGCCACACCUAUUGCUUUGCACUUUCAACAAUGGGGAGGCGUUUCUCACUGUAUGAAUUAUUAGCUCAGGAGGUCUAGGCUGGUGAAUGAAUGCAGACUUAGAGGAUAAAUGUCGUCUACUUGAUGCAUUCAAAAGGCCAAGCAACAUUUGGUUAAGGAGUAUUUGUGAUGGCAUGCAAAGAAAGUGUUGAAAGUGUGUUAGAUUAUAUUUAUCGUUUUAAAUUCUGAUGCUUAUUUAAUUUCUUAACAGUAAUGCUAAAACAUGCUCUUAGUAAGUUAUAUGUUGAAUCAGUGCUAUGUUAAUAUGGGCCCUAUAACACAGAUUUGCAGUCUGUUCACCACUGAAUAGCUAAGAAUAGUGGUUUCAGACCUAAAUGGAUGAAGACACCAAACAUGAGGAUGGGGCAGCUCACUGAAAUAUAGUAAAUCCAGGAGAGGUCUAUGUCCAACAGGCCACCUUAUACAAUAGUUUGGAUGGAUUUUCAUGGUUUUCUUCUUUCUUAUGUCUAAACCACAAUGAACUUCUUUAUUAACUCUUACUGUUUGCUAAAACCCUCAAGAAAAAAAAGUGAUGAGACAUGACUUGGUGUAUAUUCUUAACAGAAAACAAUCAUGUUGGGUUUUGAUUACUCAUGGCACUAAGGAGAAAGGAACUUGGUUGGAGGCCCCAUGAGAGAAAUCAUGCAUUGAAUCCAGGAACAGAAUGAUAGAAACUGGCUUCAGUGCAACUACUCAGCAGCAGCAUCCUCUUGGGAGGCUGGGGGUCUGUCCUCGAAGCAGGUACUGGGACUAAAGAAACAGAAAAUGCUUGUUCCAAGGUACAUUAGUCUUUUAGGCAAGGUCAGCAACCCUGUGGAGGUAAAAAACAGUAAUCCCAGGUUGCUGGCCCCCUUCCUUUAAGUCCCAGGAGAGAAAAAUAACGGUGAGAGGCUGAAUCUCAGGCUGAUAAAGAAUAGAGUUGAUCUGAGCUUCCUUUAGCAAUGGAGCCAUGCAAUGCUCUUUCCCCACUCACCCCAGGGCUGAGGUUGAAACAGGGGUUCAGGCCUGAGACUCUCUUCCUAGAGGAGCCUCAGUGUCACAAUGUACAGAAAGGACUUAUGUCCUCCUGUAACUCCCCCAACAAGGAAAUCAAAGCAGGAAUAUUGCCUGUUUAUGCAGAUCCUUGUUGAACUGAAAUGAAAGGAAGAAAGAGAAUGUAUUCAGCUACUGAAACCACCUCAGACAAUUAGAGAAACGUUUCCAUCAUACUUCCAUUGUCCAUCACUCAAUGGACGCUCUGCAGGAGCCUGAGUAACUGGGACCU
Molecule: non-coding RNA, 2998 nt
Organism: Homo sapiens (human)
Lineage: Eukaryota; Metazoa; Chordata; Mammalia; Primates; Hominidae
Source: RefSeq, a predicted model, not a curated record